UGGCGCUCAGGACAACUKAUCUCAUGCGGUAAAGCGAAUGAUURRRGCCUCGGGGCCGAAACGACCUCAACCUAUUCUCAAACUUUAAAUGUGUGAGAUCUCCGGCCUGCUCGUAAGAUGAGCCGGAGCCUUUCAAAUGNAUCGGAGUGCCAAGUGGGCCAAUUUUGGUAAGCAGNACUGGCGCUGUGGGAUGAACCAAACGCCCGGUUAANGCCCCCGWAUCGACKCUCAUUGCU
RNAcentral lists this ribosomal RNA (236 nucleotides) under Iranodus repandus. RNAcentral describes it as "partial large subunit ribosomal RNA". Lineage: Eukaryota; Metazoa; Arthropoda; Insecta; Hemiptera; Issidae. The record is from RNAcentral.